RNAcentral lists this unclassified non-coding RNA (279 nucleotides) under plant metagenome. Its description in RNAcentral is "partial contains small subunit ribosomal RNA, internal transcribed spacer 1, and 5.8S ribosomal RNA". The record is from RNAcentral.
UUUCCGUAGGUGAACCUGCGGAAGGAUCAUUACUAUAUAACCGAUGUGCUAGGGCUCUCGCUGACCCGAACGCCCGGCCAUGGCGGAAUGCCCUCACACCCACCCAUCUCACUCCCAUUUGCUCCACCGCAUGGCUCGUCCUUUUUCGUGUUCGCAAGGUGGCUUUCGUUUUUACCCAAACCUUUUAUGCAUUUUAGAUUGUCUUUUUUGUUUUUGCGAACACGUAAACACUACAACUUUCAAUAUCGUAUCUCUUGCCUCGCGCAUCGAUGAAGAAUG